RNAcentral lists this transfer RNA (65 nucleotides) under Aphrocallistes beatrix. Its description in RNAcentral is "tRNA-Asn". The record is from RNAcentral. Lineage: Eukaryota; Metazoa; Porifera; Hexactinellida; Sceptrulophora; Aphrocallistidae.
UCUAUAAUAGCUUAACUAAAGCCUUUAACCGUUAACUAAAAAAAUACUAACACUAGUUUAUAGAG